UGCAGAUAAUGACAUUUAUUGAAACAAAUGUACUAAGAAACAAAGACACUAAGACAACUUAGUAUAACACUGUGACAUGAAACAAAACACCGAGACAUGAACGACAAGAGUCUAGGACAACGAAAGACAAGCAAACAGUGCAGACAAGGACUAUAUAUAUACACACACACACACACAGAAGUGCUCAUUAACAAAACGUGAGUCAGGUGCAGGUGGUCAUGUGACAGCUAGUGCAGUGCAGUGGCUGAUGGGAAGUGGAGUUCAGAGUUUCUUGAUACGUGACAGAACCCUCCCCCAAGGGCGCUACUCCCGGAGCGCCCAAAAUUAUACGUCCUCCAUCUGGUGGUCCUGGCCCCCUGGGAAAAAUGUCCCCAGCAGAACCAGGGGGCACAGGGAGCGGCUUCCACAACGGCACAGGGAGGCUGAGAUACUUCCUCAGCUGAACAAGGAGGCUGAGCGACGUCCUCGGCUGAACAGGGAGGCUGAGCGACGUCCACGGCUGAACAGGGAGGCUGAGCGACGUCCACGGCUGAACAGGGAGGCUGAGCGACGUCCUCGGCGGAGCAUGAAAGCGGAGCGACGUCCUCGGCGGAGCAUGAAAGCGGAGCGACAUCCGUAAUAAGUGAGAGAGGGUGG
Long non-coding RNA from Ictalurus punctatus (channel catfish), 636 nucleotides. The record is from Ensembl. Lineage: Eukaryota; Metazoa; Chordata; Actinopteri; Siluriformes; Ictaluridae.